GACGGUAGAGCUCAGUGGUAGAGCACAUGCUUAGCAUGCACAAGGUCCCGGGUUCAAUCCCCAGUAUCUUCC
This 72-nucleotide transfer RNA is filed under the name Camelus bactrianus (Bactrian camel). It matches the Rfam family "tRNA". From Rfam's summary of the family: Transfer RNA (tRNA) molecules are approximately 80 nucleotides in length. Lineage: Eukaryota; Metazoa; Chordata; Mammalia; Artiodactyla; Camelidae. RNAcentral also lists the same sequence under 1 other name. The record is from Rfam by way of RNAcentral.